UUCUACGAGGAGCAACCAAGAGCCCAGGGCCUCAACUUAGCCUCAAAUCAGCCAGAUCCCAACCUGAUCCAGCAUCUGUGGGAAACAGCAACACAAGUGUGAUCCAUGGAGGCCCGAAAAGAAUCCACUACCAACAACCCAAGAGUUAAUGAGCAAAACAAGCAGGCAAUGCCACGACUGAGCAUUUCCACCUUGAAACUGCAGUGUACCAAUGACAGUCUCCAAAACACAGAUUCACAACUGCCUGGGUUUCAUACGGACCAAACCUAAGGAACCAGUCCUGCCAAUUUGCAAGAUUAAGAUUAAGCUGGAAGAAUAAUGACUAAAUGACCAGCUCUGGCAUUUCCCACGGAUUCCCUCUGCGAGGUUCCUCGGUGAUCAGAGAUGAGGCUUUAUCACCUGGACGACCUGCUGAGUGUUUGCAGCAACGUUAACCAUGUAGCUGGGACAUCACACAGGCCUCAUAAAGCUGCGACGCUCUAAUCCUGGAGAAGAGCUGCUUGUUCCAAAUGCAGCAAACAUGUCAUAAAGUUUAAGACACUGAAGUGACUCCUUUCUAAAACUUGCAAGUGAUUUACGAGCAAAACCAGCAGAUGGUAAACUGGAGGUGGCUGGCUUGGGAAGCAUUUGGACAGAGGCAGAAAGGAUUGUCAGGCUCUUAUAAAUGUCUUUUUACUGAAAACACAUUUGUAUGUUUAAGUAGGACAUACAGGCAGUCUUUGUUUAACGCUCUUAAAUACAACAAAGCCACCAGGAAAGCAUGAACUUUAGGCAGAUUUCAGGAGUUUAGGCUCUUUGAGUGUCAUUUUACUGCAUUAAAAUGGUUAAGUUUAGGGUAAAGGUCAAGGGGAUGGGGUUGUUUUACAUUUCUUUGUUGGUUUAUUAACUCAGUCUAUUAAGUUCACUGUAAAUCAUUAUAAGUUCAUCCAGCUUAGUCCCCCUGCUGCCUUAAAAAUGAGAGUUAUCUGCACAUUGACUGAUUAAUUAUUAACAGUGCAAUUAUAUUAACUGAACUUGAGAAAACACAUGAAAUAGACAGACCUAAGACACUAAACAUGAAUCAGCAAGUCACACACAGUGGUUACAGAUAGACUUGCUUUCCUUUGACAUUUUCUAAGCCUAAAGAGUUUCUUUUUCAUCGAACAUUAAAACUUACAUCCUCAAUUGUUCAAACUCUUUUUGACCAGAGUCAGUACAAAGACAGUCAGUGACGCUGCUUCCAGUUAAACGGUGAUGUCUAUGGAUAUAACUUUGCAAUGCUUGGAACUGUUUUGAUUAAAGAAACAGCCAUAACGUAAUCUAAUGUGUAUCAAAGGCACACAGCAAGUUUCCAUCAUGUCUCUUUUCUCAAACUACAAAAACAAGAGUCUCUGAGGAGUUUUAACUCUCGACAAAUGAAUCACAGGAGAUCAGCAUCUGUUUUUUAUGAAGUCAAUUUAAUGACUUGAGUCAAUUCUCAUCUGUUUAUUUAUUCAACUCAGCAUUUCAGUCAGAAUUACUUAACUUAUAAGAAUUCUUAAGUAGUCUAAAAUAUAAUUAGACAUUUUAAAUUCAGAUAACUCUUUUGUUUGUAUUAAGUUAACAAGAAAAGAUGAAUUAAUUUGACUGAAUUACUGUCUUGUGUUUUAGAGUGUAAAAUUAAUAACUUUUAUAUAAAAGAUUUGGUUAUUCUUUCUGCCCUAAAGUGAGGUCAAAUAUUAUCUGCCUAGUACAAGCAUUGCUAUUGGAGAAAUUACCCUUUUGGCUAAAAACUGUGCAGUCUCCUAACUCUGAUUCAUUUAAAAAUGCAGUUUUACAUGCAUUUAUAGCUGCAAAGAGUAGAAAACACUCAUUUCCUUUCUUUAACCUGCUGCCCUUGUUGAAAUGCAUGUGUGUUUGUGUCACUACUUUGAGAGCAAACAAGAAAACAGAUUCCUUUCACAUACACACAUACUUGACCAGUCAAGCUGAUUCUGAUUCUUUAAGGAAAUGCAGGAGAUGCAGAGUGUUUAGGCUGAAAGAAAAUGACUCGUACCAUUGAUCCUGUGGGUGCAAUAAAAUGCAAAAAGCAUUCUGGUAAAAUGCCAGAUGACUUGGUUUGUUAUACAUGGCCUUUUAUGAUACCAGGCUGUGAAAACAAGCUAAUGUCACAAAAAUGACGCGGCGAGAACAAGGCUCAGUUUCAUGUCUAAGAGAAUGAAGAUGGCAACAACAUUAUGCCACACAGCUGCAAAAUUAAAGUAGUAACUGUAACUGAUUAAUAACUGAAUAUACACUACCGUUCAAAAGUUUGGGCUCACUUAGAAAUGUCUUUAUUUUUGAAGGAAAAGCAGAUUUUUUCAAUGAAGAUAACAUUAAAUGAAUGAUAAAUCCGGUGUAGACAUUGUUAAUGUGGUAAAUGACUAUUCUAGCUGGAAACAGCUGAUUUUUAAUGGAAUAUCUCCAUAGGGGUACAGAGGAACAUUUCCAGCAACCAUCACUCCUGUGUUCUAAUGCUACAUUGUGUUCGUUAAUGGUGUUGAAAGGCUAAUUGAUGAUUAGAAAACCCUUGUGCAGUUAUGUUAGCACAUGGAUAAAAGCGUGAGUUUUCAUGGAAAACAUGAAAUUGUCUGGGUGACCCCAAACUUUUGAAUGGUAGUGUAAGAUCUGUAAUCACUUUUGUUUUUAACUGCAAUAUGGACAAAUGUAAUGUGAUUACAGUGUGUACAUUUGACUCUGAACACAGCGAAAAUGCUAAAACAAAGACAGAUGGGACAAGAAACACAGCAGUCUUUUGCAAACAUGCAGAUUCAACUUCAGCUCUGUGCAAACAUUGUUUUCCUGUUUGAGAAUGUUUUCAGGUAUUCUGAUCAAAUGAACAGACAUAUUAUCCUCAUAUAUCUGAGGAAACACAAUGUUGUUGACAGAUCUCAAUGCAAUUACUUUGGGAGUGCAGAAAAAAUAGCCAAAAACAUGGACUUAAGAUGCACAUUUGGACAUCAUGUUUGCAUGUAAUCACUGUUUUGGCUGCAUUUUCUAUCCAGCUAUAUUUAACUUAGAGAACUUUUCACCUCAGUUCACCAGCAAUAAUUCCAUAUUAUAAAUGCUGAGUGUUGCCGAAGACGACUUGCAGCAGUUUCCCUAAACACACUCCCGUCUUGUUUUCUGAGCUCACUUCUUUAGUCAAAGUCACUUGAACUCAUUAGCUUCCCUGACCUCGCCGUGCACCGUGGCUGCAGCCGAAGCAAACACUGUGUUCUGUUGCAAAGCACCAACACACACAUGCGCAGCGCUCGGCUAAACUUAUUGUGGUAUAUGCAGAGUCAUUUGUAUGGAUGCAUUCAGUGAGAUAGUUAAUCUGUAAGCGCCUGCCGGAGAAAGCAAUUAACCUCCCGGCCCACCGGGGGAGUUGAUAUGAGUGAGGGAGCAUCUCUCCGCCAUUUAAAUAUACACCAGAGGGGCUCGAGCGCUCGCAUUCAGCCAACCUAUUAUUCAUCAUCAGCGCUUUAAAUGGCCUCUUCAUGAAGACAGCGAGACAGGCCUCACUCCGUUUUACAUAUACAUACAUAUGCUGUACACACACACACACACACACACACACACACACACACACACCCCCACACACACACACACACACACACACACACACACAGGUAUUUAUUUCCACACCCAGCCUGACUGAUCCCCCACGGCUCGGGAGUUUCGGAUUGCCCUUGACGCAGAAAUGAUUAAGGUCAGCUAAAGAACAAGAAAAUUAAAUGCUGCAUUCCUGGUGAUCAGGGAAUUUACCCGACACUGGAGGAAACUAUGCCGACUCCUUGCCAAGUCUGGAAAAGGGAGAUAGAGAGUGUCCAUCCUGAUUAUUUUCAAUGCCAGUGUAGGUUCUGCUCGGCCAAAAUAUCCACAACUUUUGCUAUGGAAGACCUCUUUUUUGGGGGUAUUUCUUGAUGGACUUCUUCGCCUCUGCUCGGUGAUAUUAAAAAAUCUUUUGUGGUCAACUUUUUCCCCAUUUGCCAGAACGAGAAACUUCUCACAGGCUGUUCGAUAUGAAUCUCACUCUGUGUUUGUGGCCACUGACCUGCCAGCUUUUCCCUCAUGCAUCAGUAAGCUCUCUAAUGAGGAGAGAAACACCGGCACAGAUGGACCAAGGAGGGGAGGAUGCGCCGAAAACGGAGGGGGAUGAUGCAGAAUUUGUGAUGAAAUGAAAGCUCAGAAACAUCCACUUAAAGAUGUGCAUGCAGUAGAUCUUUCCUAGUGUGGAGGUACUUUUGAAUAAGUCACGUACUUUUUUGUUAGAGAAACUCUCAGAGGCAGUGCAAGCAGAGAUAAUGUCAGAAUUUGAUUUAAACCUCAGCGAUUUGAGACAGAUGGGUGUAUUUUAGUCACACCAGCAGCUCCGCUCUAAGGGUGACCAACUAUAUACUGUCUCAACAACUAUUUAAUGGAUUUCACUGCCACUGCAAUCCAUUAAAAACUCAUUAAAUAGUUGUUUAAUAGUUUUGUAGAGAUCUUAAUGGUUCCCAGAGGAGGAACCAUUCUGCGCUGGUGAACCCCUGAUCUUUACUGUGGCACCACCAACAAGUCAUAAUUUCAAUUGUUCUGUGAAAUAUUGAGUGGAUUCCAACACUUUGUAGACUUUUGAGGCUGCUGGAUGUAGAAUCUUUGAUAUUUCCUCUUUUGUGUAUUGUUCAGUGGACAUAUUUAUGUCCCACUAUCAAUCACAAUAACUCUAGCGAUCCUAUUAUUUUACAUUUAGACAAAUAAAUCAAACUUUUAGCCAAAAACACCUCUCUGCAUAGGUAUAGUCUCACAGAACUGAUCGAUUCUGACUUUGGUUUGGAAAAUUAGCUGAAGUUACUAAACUUUGGAGCAUUUUUAAAUACACUCACAGCUGAAAACGUGAUACAACUGUGGUUUUAAUACAGUAAAAUCAGAAAAGGUUUCAGAGAAAACACCAUCUGGAACCUCACCAAUGGGUGAUGAACCCUUAAACACAGCAUCACUUCUUUUUCAUGCACCCUUCAGUUUCCUGUCUAAAGGAUUUGCUCAGUUAUCUGACUCGUCAGUGGACAAGGUUUAAAGCUUUUGGCAACACAGAGCCCCGACUGUGGUGGUAUUCUGUCUAACUGGUUUAUGUUCUCUUUCCAUGUGGAACAGCUGAUCAAAGCCAGGUGUGAGUGUGGUUUCUUAUCCAAACUGAAGUGUGCAGGUACCGGUUGGCGAUUGGUGGAUCAACUGUCGGCUUGCAGACGACUGGUUCUUUGCCAAUGACUGCCAGCAAGUGAAGUAGCCUCAACAGAGGUGCUGCUGCAGGAAUCAUUCAUCUCAAUCUGCUCCCAACCAGCCACACUCAUAUCCAGGCUCUACAUCUGUACUGUUUUCCCAUAUGGUUGUCUUUGUUCAUCUGAAACUUUUUACAUGCUUUCUUCUUCUUAAAUUAGGUAAGAUGCUGUGUUUUGGUUUGUUACUUGGUUUUCUUGUUGUUUGCUAGUUUGGCCUCUGACCACCCUGAAGCUAAAUGUGUCUUGUUUAACCUGUAAAUUAUUAUCAGAUCUGCACAAUCUGCUUUUGUGGCCACCUCUAGACCAACCCCAUCUCUCCAAAGUUACAUUCCUAUCCUGCAUUCUACAAUAUGUUUUGAACGGAGCAUAAUUUUGUCAUGUGGUUGGAAAAGUGGCUAGUUUUUAAAAGCGACAAGUGGUAGGAGGGAAGGACAUAAACCAGCAACCAGACUUUCACCCAGUAGACCAGAGUUUGUGUCCUGUAAUGGACGAGAAACCAUCAGUCUCAGAAUUAAGUUUCAUUUUCUGUAAUUCAGUUUUGGUUUUCAUCAAGUUUCUGGUUAGGUUUAAGACCAAAUUUACUUGGUUAGGGUUCAAAUACAACCCCUUCAUUACAAAUUAAUCAUCUCCUCCAUUUUCUGACAAGUCCUGCACCCUGUAAUGUAAGAUUGUUUGGCUGAAAAGGAGAGACAGUGAAGCACUAAAAUACAUAGUAAAGAUACCUUGAUUAUUCCAAACAAAUGUAAUCCGUUAGAAAAUAAAUUUCCUUCAAAAUGAAAUCGAAAAUGCAGUUUAGCACAAUUUUGUGGAGACUGGAUUACCUAGACAUAGCAUAAUCAGAGCAAAACUGAAAAAUGUAAAAUUUGAUUCUAAUUAGAGUGUGUAAUUUCAGCUUCAAUGAGCCUCUCGAUCAAAAAGUAAAAAGCUGUGUUUUGAUGACUCGGGAACAUAGACUUUAUAUGAGACAUGAAAAAGACCUACUGGAUACCACUGUGCAGCCUUAAGUCUAUUUACCUUUUGCCGUCUAGGUCUUUUGAAACCAGAAGUUAUGAUCGAGUGGUAUUAAUGUGUGGAGAACCUGAGGACAUCACAGGUGAUGAUACAGAGGCAACUUUUCAAUCACAAGAGGCCGGGCGCCAUCGUGAUGGAUCACCUCCGUGCAUUAGGUCUUGCAACAAUCAGUGUGCCAUCUCCCACAGUCUGGACUCCUGAUGAAUGUAAGUCCAUACUUUCCUUUUAGCUCUCAGCCUUCAUCCUUUCCAGAAAGGAGAAAAAAAAAAUUGGCUCUUUGGACAAGAUGUUUGACUUAGCAGCUUCCCCAGCUAAUCACUAACAUUGUCUGUGUGCCAUUUGGUGCAGACAGGUACCAUGAAGUGGGUUUAUCAGAGGCUGGUUUUCCUGCUGGAAACAGAGUUAAUGGGGGUGAAACUACAACUCAAUGCUAAGAAGAAGCAUCGAGGAAACUAACAGCGCUUUAUCACAACAAGCCUUUUUACAUUAAACACAAUCAGUUCAUUCUUUGUUAGUACAGAAAAUACUGACUAGCGGAGCCCUAAAGGCAAAUAAC
Molecule: long non-coding RNA, 6807 nt
Organism: Amphiprion ocellaris (clown anemonefish)
Lineage: Eukaryota; Metazoa; Chordata; Actinopteri; Pomacentridae
Exons: 4
Source: RefSeq, a predicted model, not a curated record